GGAGAGGUGGCAGAGUGGUCGAAUGCGGCGAACUCGAAAUUCGUUGAAGGGUGACUUUCCGUGGGUUCGAAUCCCACCCUCUCCG
Molecule: transfer RNA, 85 nt
Filed under: Okeania hirsuta
Lineage: Bacteria; Bacillati; Cyanobacteriota; Cyanophyceae; Oscillatoriales; Microcoleaceae
Also listed under: 19 other names
Rfam family: tRNA
About the family: Transfer RNA (tRNA) molecules are approximately 80 nucleotides in length.
Source: Rfam by way of RNAcentral